This 486-nucleotide ribosomal RNA is filed under the name uncultured bacterium. Its description in RNAcentral is "bacterial SSU rRNA". It matches the Rfam family "Bacterial small subunit ribosomal RNA", at positions 791 to 1271 of the family's 1533-position model. The record is from RNAcentral.
UAGUCCACGCCGUAAACGAUGUGUGCUAGAUGUCGGGUCCAUAGGAUUCGGUGUCGCAGCUAACGCACUAAGCACACCGCCUGGGGAGUACGGUCGCAAGAUUAAAACUCAAAGGAAUUGACGGGGACCCGCACAAGCGGUGGAGCAUGUUCUUUAAUUCGACGCAACGCGAAGAACCUUACCUACACUUGACAUCCUGAUCGCGUUUUCAGAGAUAGAUUACUUCAGUUCGGCUGGAUCAGUGACAGGUGCUGCACGGCUGUCGUCAGCUCGUGUCGUGAGAUGUUUGGUUAAGUCCAGCAACGAGCGCAACCCCUAUCGUAUGUUACCAGCAUUUAGUUGGGGACUCAUGCGAGACUGCCGGUGUUAAGCCGGAGGAAGGUGGGGGACGACGUCAAGUCAUCAUGGCCCUUAGUGUAGGGGCUAGAAACGUGCUACAAUGGGAGUUACAGUGGGGCAGGCAACGGUCGCGAGGGCGAAGGCUAA